AACACAUGCAAGUCGAGCGGUAACAGAGAGUAGCUUGCUACUUUGCUGACGAGCGGCGGACGGGUGAGUAAUGCUUGGGAACAUGCCUUGAGGUGGGGGACAACAGUUGGAAACGACUGCUAAUACCGCAUAAUGUCUACGGACCAAAGAGGGCUUCGGCUCUCGCCUUUAGAUUGGCCCAAGUGGGAUUAGCUAGUUGGUGAGGUAAUGGCUCACCAAGGCGACGAUCCCUAGCUGGUUUGAGAGGAUGAUCAGCCACACUGGGACUGAGACACGGCCCAGACUCCUACGGGAGGCAGCAGUGGGGAAUAUUGCACAAUGGGCGCAAGCCUGAUGCAGCCAUGCCGCGUGUGUGAAGAAGGCCUUCGGGUUGUAAAGCACUUUCAGUCAGGAGGAAAGGUUAGUAGUUAAUACCUGCUAGCUGUGACGUUACUGACAGAAGAAGCACCGGCUAACUCCGUGCCAGCAGCCGCGGUAAUACGGAGGGUGCGAGCGUUAAUCGGAAUUACUGGGCGUAAAGCGUACGCAGGCGGUUUGUUAAGCGAGAUGUGAAAGCCCCGGGCUCAACCUGGGAACUGCAUUUCGAACUGGCAAACUAGAGUGUGAUAGAGGGUGGUAGAAUUUCAGGUGUAGCGGUGAAAUGCGUAGAGAUCUGAAGGAAUACCGAUGGCGAAGGCAGCCACCUGGGUCAACACUGACGCUCAUGUACGAAAGCGUGGGGAGCAAACGGGAUUAGAUACCCCGGUAGUCCACGCCGUAAACGAUGUCUACUAGAAGCUCGGAGCCUCGGUUCUGUUUUUCAAAGCUAACGCAUUAAGUAGACCGCCUGGGGAGUACGGCCGCAAGGUUAAAACUCAAAUGAAUUGACGGGGGCCCGCACAAGCGGUGGAGCAUGUGGUUUAAUUCGAUGCAACGCGAAGAACCUUACCUACACUUGACAUACAGAGAACUUACCAGAGAUGGUUUGGUGCCUUCGGGAACUCUGAUACAGGUGCUGCAUGGCUGUCGUCAGCUCGUGUUGUGAGAUGUUGGGUUAAGUCCCGCAACGAGCGCAACCCCUAUCCUUAGUUGCUAGCAGGUAAUGCUGAGAACUCUAAGGAGACUGCCGGUGAUAAACCGGAGGAAGGUGGGGGACGACGUCAAGUCAUCAUGGGCCCCUUACGUGUAGGGCUACC
RNAcentral lists this ribosomal RNA (1175 nucleotides) under Pseudoalteromonas sp. Its description in RNAcentral is "bacterial SSU rRNA". It matches the Rfam family "Bacterial small subunit ribosomal RNA", at positions 50 to 1218 of the family's 1533-position model. Lineage: Bacteria; Pseudomonadati; Pseudomonadota; Gammaproteobacteria; Alteromonadales; Pseudoalteromonadaceae. The record is from RNAcentral.